This 433-nucleotide ribosomal RNA is filed under the name uncultured bacterium. RNAcentral's name for it is "partial 16S ribosomal RNA". It matches the Rfam family "Bacterial small subunit ribosomal RNA", at positions 29 to 507 of the family's 1533-position model. The record is from RNAcentral.
AACGAACGCUGGCGGCAUGCCUAACACAUGCAAGUCGAACGAGACCUUCGGGUCUAGUGGCGCACGGGUGCUUAACGCGUGGGAACCUGCCCUUAGGUUCGGAAUAACUCCCCGAAAGGGGUGCUAAUACCGGAUAAUGUCUUCGGACCAAAGAUUUAUUGCCUUUGGAUGGGCCCGCGUUGGAUUAGCUAGUUGGUAGGGUAAACGCCUACCAAGGCGACGAUCCAUAGCUGGUCUGAGAGGAUGAUCAGCCACACUGGGACUGAGACACGGCCCAGACUCCUACGGGAGGCAGCAGUGGGGAAUAUUGGACAAUGGGCGAAAGCCUGAUCCAGCAAGGCCGCGUGAGUGAUGAAGGCCUUAGGGUUGUAAAGCUCUUUUACCCGGGAUGAUAAUGACAGUACCGGAAGAAUAAGCUCCGGCUAACUCCGUG